CCUACGGGAGGCUGCAGUGGGGAAUAUUGCGCAAUGGGCGAAAGCCUGACGCAGCGACGCCGCGUGAGGGAUGAAGGUCUUCGGAUCGUAAACCUCUGUCAGCAGGGAAGAACGGUCACUGUGCUAAUCAGCAGUGAAUUGACGGUACCUGCAAAGGAAGCACCGGCUAACUCCGUGCCAGCAGCCGCGGUAAUACGGAGGGUGCGAGCGUUAAUCGGAAUUACUGGGCGUAAAGCGCUCGUAGGCGGUAUGUCAAGUCAAGGGUGAAAUCCCCGCGCUCAACGUGGGAACUGCCUUUGAAACUGGCAAACUGGGGUGUGUGAGAGGAUAGUGGAAGUCCAGGUGUAGGAGUGAAAUCCGUAGAUAUCUGGAGGAACAUCAGUGGCGAAGGCGACUAUCUGGCACAUAACUGACGCUGAGGAGCGAAAGCGUGGGUAGCAAACAGGAUUAGAUACCCUUGUAGUC
This 465-nucleotide ribosomal RNA is filed under the name uncultured bacterium. RNAcentral describes it as "partial 16S ribosomal RNA". It matches the Rfam family "Bacterial small subunit ribosomal RNA", at positions 338 to 795 of the family's 1533-position model. The record is from RNAcentral.